UACGUAGGGGGCAAGCGUUGUCCGGAUUCAUUGGGCGUAAAGGGUGCGUAGGUGGUGAGGUAAGUCGGAUGUGAAAUCUCGGAGCUCAACUCCGAAAUGGCAUUGGAAACUACCUCGCUAGAGGAUCGGAGGGGAGACUGGAAUUCUCGGUGUAGCAGUGAAAUGCGUAGAUAUCGAGAGGAACACCAGUGGCGAAGGCGAGUCUCUGGACGAUUCCUGACGCUGAGGCACGAAAGCCAGGGGAGCAAACGGG
RNAcentral lists this ribosomal RNA (253 nucleotides) under uncultured bacterium. RNAcentral's name for it is "partial 16S ribosomal RNA". It matches the Rfam family "Bacterial small subunit ribosomal RNA", at positions 524 to 776 of the family's 1533-position model. The record is from RNAcentral.